This 492-nucleotide ribosomal RNA is filed under the name uncultured bacterium. RNAcentral describes it as "partial 16S ribosomal RNA". It matches the Rfam family "Bacterial small subunit ribosomal RNA", at positions 29 to 507 of the family's 1533-position model. The record is from RNAcentral.
AGUGAACGCUGGCGGUAGGCCUAACACAUGCAAGUCGAACGGCAGCACAGUAAGAGCUUGCUCUUACGGGUGGCGAGUGGCGGACGGGUGAGGAAUACAUCGGAAUCUACUUUUUCGUGGGGGAUAACGUAGGGAAACUUACGCUAAUACCGCAUACGACCUACGGGUGAAAGCAGGGGAUCUUCGGACCUUGCGCGAUUGAAUGAGCCGAUGUCGGAUUAGCUAGUUGGCGGGGUAAAGGCCCACCAAGGCGACGAUCCGUAGCUGGUCUGAGAGGAUGAUCAGCCACACUGGAACUGAGACACGGACCAUACUCCUACGAGAGGCAGCAGUGGGGAAUAUUGGACAAUGGGCGCAAGCCUGAUCCAGCCAUACCGCGUGGGUGAAGAAGGCCUUCGGGUUGUAAAGCCCUUUUGUUGGGAAAGAAAAGCAGCAGGUUAAUACCCCGCUGUUCUGACGGUACCCAAAGAAUAAGCACCGGCUAACUUCGUG